RNAcentral lists this ribosomal RNA (177 nucleotides) under uncultured Pseudomonas sp. RNAcentral's name for it is "partial 16S ribosomal RNA". It matches the Rfam family "Bacterial small subunit ribosomal RNA", at positions 338 to 507 of the family's 1533-position model. Lineage: Bacteria; Pseudomonadati; Pseudomonadota; Gammaproteobacteria; Pseudomonadales; Pseudomonadaceae. The record is from RNAcentral.
CCUACGGGAGGCAGCAGUGGGGAAUAUUGGACAAUGGGCGAAAGCCUGAUCCAGCCAUGCCGCGUGUGUGAAGAAGGUCUUCGGAUUGUAAAGCACUUUAAGUUGGGAGGAAGGGCAUUAACCUAAUACGUUAGUGUUUUGACGUUACCGACAGAAUAAGCACCGGCUAACUUCGUG